AAUCUAAUUCUAAAAAAAACUCAAGCCCACUCGUCUCUCCCAGACCCACAAAUUUCUAAUUGGAGUUACUCCUCCACCCUCUGUAUUUUCCUGUAUUCAUACUCUCGCAGUCUUGCUCUCUUCAUAAUUUUUUAACCUCUAUUUUCUCUUUCGUUCCUCCAUUGUCAUGGCUCAACCCUUUCAUCUCAAUACCGCAACUCAGAUGCUCCCCAAUUCGAUUAAUAUACAAACGAUCCAGGCAUGCUGUUGAGUUAAUCGACAAUAAACUAUGGAAUGAAUGUAAAUUCUGCAGCCUCUUGUUCAAGCUUCCAAGGAACUCUUCAACUCGUGAGAUCAUGUUAGACGCUUGGUAUAUGAAAGCAUUAAGUAAUGACUGCAACAGGAACCUUGUGCGCGAAGUCCUUAAUUUAACCUUUUAUUGAGCGCAUAUAUGGAGUUGAUCUAUGGCUUCUAACUCAAGGAAUUUGCCUGAAGGUCCUUUUCGUGGUCCAAGAGAGGCGUGCAACCAGGAAAGGUUAAGGUUCAUAUUCCAUCAUCAUUGGGAGCUGUUGUGGGUGUGCAUGCAAACCAAUUUGUGGGUGAAUGUGUUGAUUGAGUGAAGGACAUAUGCCCUCUUAAUGUUGAAAGAUGAGAUGAUAUCCCUCAAGAGGCAUUAAAUCAGCUGUAUAGUAGGAUUAAGGCAAAGUAUGACUUUGGUGAAGGUCCACACAAUUUCGGAAGUAAUACACACUCAAUGCUCUACCCUUUAUAGGCAUUGGAGAGAAAGAUUGAAGGCUGGCCAUUUUUCAAACUCCUCUUAUUUGUUUAGUUAUUUAUGUACUGUAUUUUUCUAGUUUGAAUACCGAUGUUUUACUUUUCCUAGGAACUUGAGGCAGAAGCUGGAGAAAGCGGGAGUGAUCUACAUGAAGAUGAGCAGGAGGUCAAUGAACUGGAGGCUAAGAAGAAACAACAAGAGUUAGAACAGAAACUUCGGUUAGUCAUGGACAAGAUUAGGUUGACAUAAAGAAUAACAGGACAGCAGGACUUAUAGUUCUCCAACCCUACAACUUUCACCAGUUGAGAGUUUCCAAUUAAGUAUGGAAUAUUGACAAGUUUGUUAUGCAUCAGAUCAUGCAUGCUAUGAGUAUGUGGAUGAGCAUGGCCAAGAACUUUAUUUGACACCAGCACUCUCGAAGACCUAACGGGAUAUUUUAUAAACAAAAUGGUGGUUGGUUGGCUUAUAAACAAAAUGGUGGUUGGGUGGCUUGUUGUCUCUAAUCUUAGCCUUAGUUGCAUAACUAGGCUGUUGUGUUUGUGUGUUUUGCUGCUCUCGAUGCUCUGUUGUUGUUCUGAUUCUUGUUACAGUUUAUUCCAGUGCAUUGCUGCUGUUUUUCUUAAA
Spinacia oleracea (spinach) is the source of this 1378-nucleotide long non-coding RNA. RefSeq lists it as uncharacterized. The transcript has 7 exons. The record is from RefSeq and is a predicted model, not a curated record. NCBI's taxonomy places the organism in Eukaryota, Viridiplantae, Streptophyta, Magnoliopsida, Caryophyllales, Amaranthaceae.